AUUGAACGCUGGCGGCGUGCUUAACACAUGCAAGUCGAGCGGUAACAGGUGUAGCAAUACAUGCUGACGAGCGGCGAACGGGUGAGUAAUGCUUCGGAAUCUUCCUCGUAGUGGGGAAUAACCUGGGGAAACUCAGGCUAAUACCGCAUACGAACUACGGUUGAAAGCAGGGGGAUCGCAAGACCUUGCGCUAUGAGAUGAGCCGAAGUCGGAUUAGCUAGUUGGUGAGGUAAAGGCUCACCAAGGCGACGAUCCGUAGCUGGUCUGAGAGGACGACCAGCCACACUGGGACUGAGACACGGCCCAGACUCCUACGGGAGGCAGCAGUGGGGAAUAUUGGACAAUGGGGGCAACCCUGAUCCAGCGACGCCGCGUGUGUGAAGAAGGCCUGCGGGUUGUAAAGCACUUUUAGUGGGGAUGAAAAGCCAAGGGCUAAUACCCUUUGGUCUUGACCUAACCCAAAGAAAAGCAACCGGCUAACUCUGUGCCAGCAGCCGCGGUAAU
This 504-nucleotide ribosomal RNA is filed under the name uncultured bacterium. RNAcentral's name for it is "bacterial SSU rRNA". It matches the Rfam family "Bacterial small subunit ribosomal RNA", at positions 30 to 524 of the family's 1533-position model. The record is from RNAcentral.